RNAcentral lists this long non-coding RNA (983 nucleotides) under Volvox carteri. RNAcentral describes it as "long non-coding RNA (VCAR_LNC002295)". Lineage: Eukaryota; Viridiplantae; Chlorophyta; Chlorophyceae; Chlamydomonadales; Volvocaceae. The record is from RNAcentral.
GGGAGCCUGGCGAUGGCGGUGUCCGGAGUUCCUAAGGUCCGGCGAGGGGUUCAAGGGGACUGCAAACUGUUUAAAGGGAGAUUUCCAGAGGAACGCGAAAAACAGUACCCAUGCCAGAGCCCAAGCCGACAAGCAGCGAGGGGUGGUCGGUGGGGGUGGGGUGGGAGGUUGGGGGGUGAGAGGGAGGGCCUCCGUCUGGGAUCGCCACUACUACUGCUGCUAUUGUUGUUGAGGAUGGAAGCCAGCAGCUUGUGUGGCCUUGUCUCACCUUUUACACCAACAGGGCCGGGCGCAGGCCGAGGACAGUGGCGGGGGAGUACGUCCUCGUCCUGAUGUCACUACGACUACUGUCAAUAGAUGUUAAAACGGUACCACCGCGAUCUCAUAUCUCUCCUGGAUAUUAUUUCAUGAUGAGCGGGGGCAAAAGUGCUGCACCACUAUGCCAAAUCCAAUUGUGGCGUAAGGAGGCGGCACCAAGAGCAACAGAGUUUUGAAGGGUGGCAGUAGGUGCAAUUGCUCAGGUUGUGUCAGGUCUCUGGCUCUGCUGCGCGCCUCUCUCCAAAACGCCAGUUGAAGCCCAAAAAGUGUUGAUAACUUACCUUGCCAGCGCAGCGCCGUUCACCGCCCCGGAAAUCAGGAAAUCGGACUCCCUAGCUCCAUGGCCAAAUACUCAGCCCCGCCUCUGUUUCGCAUUCCGGGUUAUGCAUCUUCUGAAUAAAGAAGUUCCCCAGGCAAGAACCCGGCCGAUGGGCCGGGCCGCAUACAAAGCACAGCCUUGCCGUGCCAUGAAACACCAGGCGCUCCGUAUAUUGCAUCCCAAUAGGCAGGAAGAGGAGUAAAGAAUGUCACACAUUGCAGGACCCCAUUUCACUCUUGCGGUCUUCUUGGGUAGCCAACGCAAGGGGUCCUUGGCCAAGGCCCUUGGGCCUCUUGUAAAACUUCAUCCCGCCAUCGAUGCUGGAAGCCCUGGCUACGUGGGGUGU